GAUGAACGCUGGCGGCGUGCCUAAUACAUGCAAGUCGAGCGAACAGAUGAGGAGCUUGCUCCUCUGACGUUAGCGGCGGACGGGUGAGUAACACGUGGAUAACCUACCUAUAAGACUGGGAUAACUUCGGGAAACCGGAGCUAAUACCGGAUAAUAUAUUGAACCGCAUGGUUCAAUAGUGAAAGACGGUUUUGCUGUCACUUAUAGAUGGAUCCGCGCCGCAUUAGCUAGUUGGUAAGGUAACGGCUUACCAAGGCAACGAUGCGUAGCCGACCUGAGAGGGUGAUCGGCCACACUGGAACUGAGACACGGUCCAGACUCCUACGGGAGGCAGCAGUAGGGACUCUUCCGCAAUGGGCGAAAGCCUGACGGAGCAACGCCGCGUGAGUGAUGAAGGUCUUCGGAUCGUAAAACUCUGUUAUUAGGGAAGAACAAAUGCGUAAGUAACUAUGCACGUCUUGACGGUACCUAAUCAGAAAGCCACGGCUAACUACGUG
Molecule: ribosomal RNA, 497 nt
Filed under: uncultured bacterium
Lineage: Bacteria
Description: partial 16S ribosomal RNA
Rfam family: Bacterial small subunit ribosomal RNA
Source: RNAcentral